UCAUCGGCCUCAGAUUGGUAGGACUACCCGCUGAACUUAAGCAUAUCAAUAAGCGGAGGAAAAGAAACUAACAAGGAUUCCCCUAGUAACGGCGAGUGAAGAGGGAAGAGCCCAAGAUUGAAAGCUGGCGCCUUCGGCGUCCGCAUUGUAAUCUCAAGAAGUGUUUUCCGCUUCGGACCAUGCCUAAGUCCCUUGGAAAAGGGCAUCAUAGAGGGUGAUAAUCCCGUACAUGGCAUGGAGCGCCCGAAGCUUUGUGAUACGCUUUCUAAGAGUCGAGUUGUUUGGGAAUGCAGCUCAAAAUGGGUGGUAAAUGCCAUCUAAGGCUAAAUAUUGGGGAGAGACCGAUAGCGAACAAGUACAGUGAUGGAAAGAUGAAAAGAACUUUGAAAAGAGAGUUAAACAGUACGUGAAAUUGCCAAAAGGGAAGGGUAGGAGGUCAGAGAUGCGUUCUAGGAUUCAGCCUUGCUUUUGCAUGGUGUUUUUUCUAGUUUGCAGGCCAACGUCGGUUUUGGGCACUGGAGAAGGGUGGAAGGAAUGUGGCACCUCUCGGGGUGUGUUAUAGCCUUCUACUGGAUACAGCGACCGAGACCGAGGACAGCAGCGUACUCGCAAGAGCGGGCCUUCGGGCACCUUUACGCUUAGGGC
RNAcentral lists this ribosomal RNA (645 nucleotides) under Kalmanozyma fusiformata. RNAcentral's name for it is "eukaryotic LSU rRNA". It matches the Rfam family "Eukaryotic large subunit ribosomal RNA", at positions 1 to 624 of the family's 3401-position model. Lineage: Eukaryota; Fungi; Basidiomycota; Ustilaginomycetes; Ustilaginales. The record is from RNAcentral.